Molecule: ribosomal RNA, 586 nt
Filed under: uncultured Pseudomonas sp.
Lineage: Bacteria; Pseudomonadati; Pseudomonadota; Gammaproteobacteria; Pseudomonadales; Pseudomonadaceae
Description: bacterial SSU rRNA
Rfam family: Bacterial small subunit ribosomal RNA
Source: RNAcentral
ACGGGUGAGUAAUGCCUAGGAAUCUGCCUGGUAGUGGGGGACAACGUUUCGAAAGGAACGCUAAUACCGCAUACGUCCUACGGGAGAAAGCAGGGGACCUUCGGGCCUUGCGCUAUCAGAUGAGCCUAGGUCGGAUUAGCUAGUUGGUGAGGUAAUGGCUCACCAAGGCGACGAUCCGUAACUGGUCUGAGAGGAUGAUCAGUCACACUGGAACUGAGACACGGUCCAGACUCCUACGGGAGGCAGCAGUGGGGAAUAUUGGACAAUGGGCGAAAGCCUGAUCCAGCCAUGCCGCGUGUGUGAAGAAGGUCUUCGGAUUGUAAAGCACUUUAAGUUGGGAGGAAGGGUUGUAGAUUAAUACUCUGCAAUUUUGACGUUACCGACAGAAUAAGCACCGGCUAACUCUGUGCCAGCAGCCGCGGUAAUACAGAGGGUGCAAGCGUUAAUCGGAAUUACUGGGCGUAAAGCGCGCGUAGGUGGUUCGUUAAGUUGGAUGUGAAAUCCCCGGGCUCAACCUGGGAACUGCAUUCAAAACUGUCGAGCUAGAGUAUGGUAGAGGGUGGUGGAAUUUCCUGUGUAGCGGUGA